GGUGGUGCAUGGUUGUCGUCAGCUCGUGUCGUGAGAUGUUGGGUUAAGUCCCGCAACGAGCGCAACCCUUAUUCUUAGUUGCCAUCAUUUAGUUGGGCACUCUAAGGAGACUGCCGGUGACAAACCGGAGGAAGGUGGGGAUGACGUCAAAUCAUCAUGCCCCUUAUGAUUUGGGCUACACACGUGCUACAAUGGAUGGUACAAAGGGCAGCAAAACCGCGAGGUCAAGCAAAUCCCAUAAAACCAUUCUCAGUUCGGAUUGUAGUCUGCAACUCGACUACAUGAAGCUGGAAUCGCUAGUAAUCGUAGAUCAGCAUGCUACGGUGAAUACGUUCCCGGGUCUUGUACACAC
This 352-nucleotide ribosomal RNA is filed under the name uncultured bacterium. RNAcentral describes it as "bacterial SSU rRNA". It matches the Rfam family "Bacterial small subunit ribosomal RNA", at positions 1037 to 1390 of the family's 1533-position model. The record is from RNAcentral.